RNAcentral lists this non-coding RNA (62 nucleotides) under Pseudomonas rhizosphaerae. RNAcentral describes it as "Li+-I sequence". It matches the Rfam family "nhaA-I RNA". From Rfam's summary of the family: Acidobacteria, Alphaproteobacteria, Betaproteobacteria and Gammaproteobacteria, Verrucomicrobia, cand. division NC10. Downstream gene The record is from Rfam by way of RNAcentral. Lineage: Bacteria; Pseudomonadati; Pseudomonadota; Gammaproteobacteria; Pseudomonadales; Pseudomonadaceae.
GGGUGCGCCGCUGCAUAGGGUACGGCGCAGGUUAAAGUUCAGCGUUGGUCGGGCCGCCAACG